GGGCUCGCUUUGGUAGCACGUAUGCUGAAAUUGGAAGGGUACAGAGAUCAGCAGGGCCCCUGCUAAGGAUGACACGCAAAUGUGUGAAGCCUUCCAUAUUAAA
Molecule: small nuclear RNA, 103 nt
Organism: Ursus americanus (American black bear)
Lineage: Eukaryota; Metazoa; Chordata; Mammalia; Carnivora; Ursidae
Source: Ensembl